This 728-nucleotide long non-coding RNA is filed under the name Nicotiana benthamiana. RNAcentral describes it as "long non-coding RNA (NBEN_LNC039577)". The record is from RNAcentral. Lineage: Eukaryota; Viridiplantae; Streptophyta; Magnoliopsida; Solanales; Solanaceae.
UGCAGUUAGGCGCCCACCUGUAGAACAAGGGAAUAUUUUCCAAAAUUUCAUGUUUUUGAUAACCAGGUGCUCGCCUGUAGAACAAGGGAAUUCAAGUCUUGGUAAUCAGACGUCCAGCUGUAGAAUAAGUGAAUAUCUUUCAAAUUCCAAGUUUUGAUAAUCAUGCACCCACCUGGAGAACAAGGGAAUAUUUCUCAAAAUUUCAUGUUUGGUAAUCAGGCACCCACCCGGAGAACAAGGGAAUAUUUCUCAAAAUUUCAGGUUUGGUAAUCAGGCACCCACCAUGAGAACAAGGGAGUAUUUUCAACAUUUCAGCUUUUGUAGUCAGGCACCCACCUGUAGAAUAAGGGAAUAUUUUUCAAAAGUCAAAUCUUGGCGGUCAGGCGCACACCUGCAGAACAAGGGAAUUUUUUUCAAAGAUGCAAGUCUUGGCGAUCAGGCGCCCACCUGUAGAACAAGGGAAUGUUUUCAAGAUUCAUGUUUUGUAAUCAGGCACCCACCUGCAAAACAAAGGAAUACAUAUCAAGUCCAAAAAUUCGGCAUCAAACAUGAAGGAAGAAAAAUGCAAGGAGUCAACAAGGCAACAAGGAAUCUGUAGGAAGAAAUACGAGGCAAAAAAGCAACAAGGAUCAAGAGCGAGAUUGAAGGCCUAGAUAGGCUUCUCUUUGUAAUCCGUAGCUAAUAGCUUAGUCUAGUUUCUUUUUAGUUUUCAUGAGGUUUAAUAAGAG